CCAGCGCCACCCUCCUGAACGUCCACCAUGUUGCUGGGCCUGGCUGGGGUCGAGAGGACCAAGGACCACUAGACGGGGACCUUGGGGAUGCUUUCCUGAGGCCAGGACACCAUUUCCCACAGUGACUAGAAUGGGCCCAGCCUGGGUGUGCGGAGGUCAUGGUUAACAGUCAUUUCCAUGGCAGGACGGCUGUGGGGACCCACAGUGCCAAUGUUGUAAAUGCGGCAAGGACAGCACAGGGCGGCUCGGCAGUGCUCUUAGCGGGCCUGGGGCUGGCAGUGUGGUGGCCCACCCGAAGACAGCCAAGCCCACGGAGGGGUCAGCACGGCUAAGGGUAAACAGAGGAUGGCCGAGGGGGGCCACAGGUGGUCUCUGCACCUGCCAGGCAGCCCAGAAUAUUCUACUUCUGCCGGCCCGAGGCCCAGCCUGCCGCUGCCCAUGCCUCUCCGUCUCCUGUGCCCCCGGCGCAAUUCAGCCAGGCCAUGCCUGUUCCUCCACCAAUGCCCUAGCUGCCCUCA
Long non-coding RNA from Mustela lutreola (European mink), 518 nucleotides. RefSeq lists it as uncharacterized. The transcript is spliced from 4 exons. The record is from RefSeq and is a predicted model, not a curated record. NCBI's taxonomy places the organism in Eukaryota, Metazoa, Chordata, Mammalia, Carnivora, Mustelidae.